GGAGAGGUGCCUGAGUGGCCGAAAGGAACGGUUUGCUAAAUCGUCGUACUUAGAAAUAGGUACCCAGGGUUCGAAUCCCUGUCUCUCCG
RNAcentral lists this transfer RNA (89 nucleotides) under Psychroserpens burtonensis. It matches the Rfam family "tRNA". Rfam says of the family: Transfer RNA (tRNA) molecules are approximately 80 nucleotides in length. Their secondary structure includes four short double-helical elements and three loops (D, anti-codon, and T loops). Further hydrogen bonds mediate the characteristic L-shaped molecular structure. tRNAs have two regions of fundamental functional importance: the anti-codon, which is responsible for specific mRNA codon recognition, and the 3' end, to which the tRNAs corresponding amino acid is attached (by aminoacyl-tRNA synthetases). tRNAs cope with the degeneracy of the genetic code in two manners: having more than one tRNA (with a specific anti-codon) for a particular amino acid; and 'wobble' base-pairing, i.e. permitting non-standard base-pairing at the 3rd anti-codon position. Lineage: Bacteria; Pseudomonadati; Bacteroidota; Flavobacteriia; Flavobacteriales; Flavobacteriaceae. RNAcentral also lists the same sequence under 8 other names. The record is from Rfam by way of RNAcentral.